CCAGGGAAAGUGGCAGCCCGACCCGGCAAUUGUGAGUGGCGCCUCGUGGGAAGAGACGCCCGUUGCGCUGAUGUAGAGACGCACACUGCCUCGUAGACGUCACUCGAUGGAGGAGGACGAGCUCAGCAGAAUGUCAGCUGCCUGAGUGCCCGUAGAUGAUGACACGCACACACGCACGCAACAAAAAUCCUGCAGACCCAGGCGGGGAAAAUUAGCCAUUAUAUAUGCCACCUUGCUCGUGUCUCUCUCCCAAGGCAGUGCAUAAAUCUGGCUUACGUCCGGAGCGAUAUGGAUAACGAACACUCGCGCCUCUAACCCCGCCCCACCACACACCCCUCCUCAAGAACACGCGAAGAAGCUGUCUGUGUCUGUGAGAGUCGGUGAGUGCCUUCGUGACAUGUAGGACGUGUAACAAACGCACCCAAUGCAGUCAAGGUGGGGAGAAAUAGGAAAACAGAGACAGUUUGUGUGGUGAUGAUAGAGACGUGAAGGCGUGUGUUAGCGCCUCACUUGUGCUGUGUUUGGGAGCGUGUACCUGUGCAUCGCUAACCGUUCACCGCCACCGCCACCACCACCGCCACCACCACCAGCAACAACAACAACAACAACACCGCCAUCGCCGCCCACAAUGCUACCCUCGCUAGGACGCCUUCUUACCCUCCUCGCCUGCUGCCUCGGCGUCACCCUCGCCCCCGCCGCAGCUUAUCGUAAAGACCAAGUGAUAUCGAAGUACAACAACCUUCGCACUUACUUCAUGAAGGAGUACCGCAAAGUGCAGGCAACCCCAAGUGGAUCAGCUGGUCAUUAUACUUCAAAGUAGGAGUUAUUUGAUAUUAUGUCUUUUUUGAAGGACACAUUAAAUAACUAUAUCACAAAGGCCAGUGCUCCCUUCACUGCAGAGGCAAACGUGUCACUGGACAGCUGCUCCAUCCUCAUUCAUGAAGAUGGGACACAGGAGCCAUGCAUAAUAUCCCCCAGCAGCUGUUCAAGUGAUUCAUUUUUAUACUCUUCUACCCCAUCGCCAUCCUGUACUAUCUCAUUACCUCCAUCAUUACCUGAAGGUAGUGCAACCCAGCCACAGGCACCUUCAGUGGCAGGCAGUGCAUUGCUGUCAACAACGGGAAUGCCACCUGUGUCCUCCUGUGGUACUACAACAGUGACUAAGAAGAGGAAGAGGAAUGACAUGAGUGACAUAGAGGAUGACUGCAGAGAAGCCCUACGAAACCUCAAACAGACUCCUCAAGAAAAUGACGAUUUCAGCGCAAGUUUUGGCAGGGCGGUCGGUCACUGGAUGCGCGACUUACCUGCUGGUGAAAGGAUAUCAGCAGUCUUCAAGAUAAUGGAGGUCAUGAAGAGUCACGAUUUUUGUUGAUAGGUAAAGUCAGGUAAAAG
Molecule: long non-coding RNA, 1392 nt
Organism: Eriocheir sinensis (Chinese mitten crab)
Lineage: Eukaryota; Metazoa; Arthropoda; Malacostraca; Decapoda; Varunidae
Exons: 3
Source: RefSeq, a predicted model, not a curated record